UACGUAGGGACCAAGCGUUGUUCGGAUUUACUGGGCGUAAAGGGCGCGUAGUCGGCAGAUCAAGUCAGCUGUGAAAUCUCCGAGCUUAACUCGGAACGGUCAGCUGAUACUGUUUUGCUAGAGUACAGAAGGGGCAAUCGGAAUUCUUGGUGUAGCGGUGAAAUGCGUAGAUAUCAAGAGGAACACCUGAGGUGAAGACGGGUUGCUGGGCUGAUACUGACGCUGAGGCGCGAAAGCUAGGGUAGCAAACGGG
Molecule: ribosomal RNA, 253 nt
Filed under: uncultured bacterium
Lineage: Bacteria
Description: partial 16S ribosomal RNA
Rfam family: Bacterial small subunit ribosomal RNA
Source: RNAcentral